RNAcentral lists this ribosomal RNA (616 nucleotides) under Epicoccum proteae. RNAcentral's name for it is "partial large subunit ribosomal RNA". It matches the Rfam family "Eukaryotic large subunit ribosomal RNA", at positions 36 to 668 of the family's 3401-position model. Lineage: Eukaryota; Fungi; Ascomycota; Dothideomycetes; Pleosporales; Didymellaceae. The record is from RNAcentral.
GUGCAUAUCAAUAAGCGGAGGAAAAGAAACCAACAGGGAUUGCCCUAGUAACGGCGAGUGAAGCGGCAACAGCUCAAAUUUGAAAUCUGGCGUCUUUGGCGUCCGAGUUGUAAUUUGCAGAGGGCGCUUUGGCAUUGGCAGCGGUCCAAGUUCCUUGGAACAGGACGUCACAGAGGGUGAGAAUCCCGUACGUGGUCGCUAGCCUUUACCGUGUAAAGCCCCUUCGACGAGUCGAGUUGUUUGGGAAUGCAGCUCUAAAUGGGAGGUAAAUUUCUUCUAAAGCUAAAUACUGGCCAGAGACCGAUAGCGCACAAGUAGAGUGAUCGAAAGAUGAAAAGCACUUUGGAAAGAGAGUUAAAAAGCACGUGAAAUUGUUGAAAGGGAAGCGCUUGCAGCCAGACUUGCCUGUAGUUGCUCAUCCGGGUUUUUACCCGGUGCACUCUUCUACGGGCAGGCCAGCAUCAGUUUGGGCGGUUGGAUAAAGGUCUCUGUCAUGUACCUCCUCUCGGGGAGAACUUAUAGGGGAGACGACAUGCAACCAGCCCGGACUGAGGUCCGCGCAUCUGCUAGGAUGCUGGCGUAAUGGCUGUAAGCGGCCCGUCUUGAACACGGACCA